UGUUUUCCAGAAAACAGGGACAAAAAUCAAAUGUGUGACGCUCUUGAACUGGUCUCCCUAGGAAAAUAGCCUGUUUGUGAACAAAAAUGUGAUCCCAAACAGAAAAUGGUCAUGUAACUGAAACAUGUGUAUGGCUGGAGGAGAGAUAAGAGUUGGUGAGAAGGAGAGUAACUGCAGUACCAUCAGAAAUAAUGCACUCCCUAAGAAAUAACCCCCUGCUGCUCUGUGGGAGCUGAGGGCAGCUCAGCACAGCACUGUGCCUUGCAGAGACUGUGAAUAUUCAGCCAGAGACUCUGUGCUGGCACAGGGCCCUCUCCAGCAGCCAGUGAGGGUCUGCUGGCCACCUGUCCUCUGCCCUUCUCCUGGUGCCCACUGCAGUGGCCAUGGAGUUCACUGGUUUCUUCACACUGUCAGUGGCUGACAUUGCCACAGGAGUGCCACCUCCCAGCACAGGGUAUUGCCUGAACACUCGUGCCUAGAUGGGACCAGUGUCCUUUCCAGGGUUGCAAAGAGACACAGCCAGCUGGGAUUCACCACCCAGGACCUCCUCCUGAAGGUAUUCCAGUGGGAGCUGUGGGAAUUCCCAUCACAUUUCCUGAAAAUGGGUCUGCUGUACAGCAAGAAGCUCAGGCUCUGAUCAGAUAGAGAGGCACCACUGCAGAUAUGACUGUGAUUUAGUGGUCGAGGUUCUCACCAAAGAGGUCCAGAACUUUCUCCUCCCUGGAGCUCUGUUGUUGCCUAAUUGUGAUGAAAAGUUCAAAGAGGUUGGCUUGUGCACUCAUCUCAUCCAAGGGCACAGGAAUCAUGGAAUCAUGAAUUGUUUACGUUGGAAAAGACCUCUAGGAUGGAGGUAAAGAGAGGAAAGUACAGGAGAAGCACAGCACAAAGCAGCAAGAGUGAGGAAUGGCACGUGGGUCUGGACUAAUGGAUUAAUGGAAGAGCCACCAGCACACCUUGGAGAUGAUGCUCCUGAGGGAAAGGCUGGCAUGGAAGAUGACACAAAGCAAGGCCAGGGUGAAGGAUGCAGGCAGCACACCUGGGGACACAUGAGGGAGUGAGGGACUGAAGGGAAAAUACAGCCUAGAGGCAAGAGAAGAAUCCAGAGAGAAGGUGAAGAACUGUGACAAGUUAAGAGCAAGAGUGUUCAGGGUAAUCAGAAGAGAAAAUCUCCCUGGGAUAAUAUUUCAAAAUUUAAUUUGUCUGAACAUUACAUCACAUAAUCUCUGACUUGCUUUCACUGUAGUGAUUACUGACAAAC
This 1258-nucleotide long non-coding RNA is filed under the name Cyanistes caeruleus (blue tit). RNAcentral's name for it is "lncRNA (ENSCCEG00000014591.1)". Lineage: Eukaryota; Metazoa; Chordata; Aves; Passeriformes; Paridae. The record is from RNAcentral.